RNAcentral lists this transfer RNA (82 nucleotides) under Paramuricea clavata. It matches the Rfam family "tRNA". Rfam says of the family: Transfer RNA (tRNA) molecules are approximately 80 nucleotides in length. Their secondary structure includes four short double-helical elements and three loops (D, anti-codon, and T loops). Lineage: Eukaryota; Metazoa; Cnidaria; Anthozoa; Malacalcyonacea; Plexauridae. The record is from Rfam by way of RNAcentral.
GUAGUCGUGGCCGAGUGGUUAAGGCGACAGACUUGAAAUCUGUUGGGAUAUUCCCGCGCAGGUUCAAAUCCUGCCGGCUACG